This 2129-nucleotide long non-coding RNA is filed under the name Salmo salar (Atlantic salmon). Its description in RNAcentral is "lncRNA (ENSSSAG00000119927.1)". The record is from RNAcentral. Lineage: Eukaryota; Metazoa; Chordata; Actinopteri; Salmoniformes; Salmonidae.
GUGAGUCUUAUUCAUUACAUUUAGUUAUUGCUUGCUUUUCUAAAAGUCUAUCAACCUUUUCCAGCAGAUAUGCCAGCAAAGAUAUUCAGACAGUCUAGCUACUCUAAUUUGAUUGAUAGCCUGCAAUGGCUUCUGGGUAAUAGUGACUAGUAGUAUUACAGAGAAACAGGACAAAUCUGAGGGGGGCACGUGCCCCUUUGCCCCCUUUGAGCAUGAUGCAUCUUAUUGUGAUUAUAAUAUGUGACUAAAAACAGCCUAGGCUUUAUUUUAUGGUGAUGUGUACCCCCCCCCCCAUGUACUUAGCCAUUAGACGUGUGUUAUUAUAGCGCCUCAUACAGCGCCGCCGCCUGCUAAAAUGUAGGUUGCUAGAUUUCACCUGGCUUGCCUCUUGCUUCUGCUACCGCUGGCUGUCUGACUGAGAACAUUAAACCACCAGCAUCAUGAAGUAGAGGAAGAACAACGAUGUAGAGGAAGAACAACGAUGUGGAGGAAGAACAACGAUGUGGAGGAAGAACAACGAUGUGGAGGAAGAACAACGAUGUGGAGGAAGAACAACGAUGUGGAGGAAGAACAACGAUGUGGAGGAAGAACAACGAUGUGGAGGAAGAACAACGAUGUAGAGGAAGAACAACGAUGUGGAGGAAGAACAACGAUGUGGAGGAAGAACAACGAUGUGGAGGAAGAACAACGAUGUGGAGGAAGAACAACGAUGUGGAGGAAGAACAACGAUGUGGAGGAAGAACAACGAUGUGGAGGAAGAACAACGAUGUAGAGGAAGAACAACGAUGUGGAGGAAGCUGCAGUCUAACCCUUUAGUGAUAACUGUGACUGUUCAUAGCAACAGGUGUUGUUUGGUAUUUGAUACCUGUGACUGUUCAUAGCAACAGGUGUUGUUUGGUAUUUGAUACCUGUGACUGUUCAUAGAAACAGGUGUUGUUUGGUAUUUGAUACCUGUGACUGUUCAUAGAAACAGGUGUUGUUUGGUAUUUGAUACCUGUGACUGUUCAUAGCAACAAGUGUUGUUUGGUAUUUUAUAACUGUGACUGUUCAUAGCAACAAGUGUUGUUUGGUAUUUUACAACUGUGACUGUUCUGUGACUGUUCAGGAGCAGACAGACAGAACCUGUGCAGUCCCUUUCUCUCUAACCCAGGGCUUGGUUUGACAGAGGCAGAAACUCAAAUAGGAAGUACCCGUGCAAAGGACUAUUCAACGCUGGUCUGACCAAUCGGGAAUGGAUGCUUCAUGAUUGUUUUGAUGUGCAGUUACUCGGUACUCGGCAAACUACCUGCCCUCCAGGACACCUACAGCACCCGAUGUCACAGAAAGGCCAAAAAGAUCAUCAAGGACAACAACCACCCGAGCCACUGCCUGUUCACCCCGUUAUCAUCCAGAAGGCGAGCUGCUGCUUUGCCAAGUCACGCUACCGCCGGCCGUACCGGCUACUGAGGAAGAUCUGUCAGUUGAUCCCCACCGUUCCGGCCUGCCUACUGGAGAUCAGCCCUGUAGCCCACCGCCUGGCCACCGUACCCUGGGACAGAACCCUGUACUACCCCUCUACGCCCUGCAGGCUCCCAUUUAGCCACAGCUCACACCUUACCUUCAUGGAGGGACCAUAAGAACAUGCCUGAGAGCACACUUCCCUCGACCCUCGCCCGCAGCCGGACACUCCCCUUGGCCCCCGCCCACAGCCAGAAGUCCACAAUAGACCUGAAUUCGCUUACUGUCUAAAGCACCCCUGGUCUCAACACAGACCCCCAGAUACUCACACUACAAGCAGACACAGGUGUGGUGGUUGGUGUCUAACUGGUUGAUUGAUUGAUUAAUUGAUUGACAGAUUGAAUUGAUUUGAUCAUUAAAAGUAGAAGGCUGCUCCAGGCAGAGACAUGACAUACAUUAAAGUGCAGUCAAACACGUGAUCUUCCUAUUUUUUUUCUAAAUAUUUCCACACUAUGAGGUCGAAAUGACACUCUAAAAUUAUGAUAUUGUCCUUUUUGUAUAAGAGCUGUUUGAAAAAAAAAUGGCUGGAAUUUGGGAUGGAGUUUUGGACCCGCCGCAUACCAUCACAAGGCAAUCUGAUUAUAAUGGACCAAUGAACGUUCAUCGUUUAUUUGCAUCUGAUUAUAAUGGAC